AACAGAACCCUCAAGCGUUACCCGGAUUUAUUGGGCGUAAAGCGUCUGUAGCCGGUUUGGAAAGUCUGUAAUUAAAUACCAAGAGCUCAACUUUUGGAAUGUUACAGAAACUCCCAGACUAGAGGGCAUUAGGGGCCGAUGGAACUCUUGGAGGAGGGGUGAAAUCCGUUGAUAUCAAGAGGAACACCAAAAGCGAAGGCAUUCGGCUGGGGUGACCCUGACGGUGAGAGACGAAAGCGUGGGGAGCGAAAAGG
RNAcentral lists this unclassified non-coding RNA (254 nucleotides) under uncultured Parcubacteria group bacterium. RNAcentral's name for it is "contains 16S-23S intergenic spacer region". It matches the Rfam family "Bacterial small subunit ribosomal RNA", at positions 524 to 776 of the family's 1533-position model. The record is from RNAcentral.